RNAcentral lists this ribosomal RNA (440 nucleotides) under uncultured bacterium. RNAcentral's name for it is "partial 16S ribosomal RNA". It matches the Rfam family "Bacterial small subunit ribosomal RNA", at positions 338 to 795 of the family's 1533-position model. The record is from RNAcentral.
CCUACGGGAGGCAGCAGUGGGGAAUAUUGCACAAUGGAGGGAACUCUGAUGCAGCGACGCCGCGUGAGUGAAGAAGUAAUUCGUUAUGUAAAGCUCUAUCAGCAGGGAAGAAAGUGACGGUACCUGAAAAAGAAGCUCCGGCUAAAUACGUGCCAGCAGCCGCGGUAAUACGUAUGGAGCAAGCGUUAUCCGGAUUUACUGGGUGUAAAGGGAGAGUAGGUGGCAGAGCAAGUCCGAAGUGAAAACCCAAAGCUCAACUAUGGGAAUGCUUUAGAAACUGCUCAGCUGGAGUGCAGGAGAGGCAAGUGGAAUUCUUAGUGUAGCGGUGAAAUGCGUAGAUAUCACGAAGAACCCCGAUGGCGAAGGCAGCCUGCCGCAGCGUUACUGACGCUGAAGCUCGAAAGCGCGGGUAUCGAACAGGAUUAGAUACCCGAGUAGUC